GAUGAAGAACGUAGUGAAAUGCGAUAAGUAGUGUGAAUUGCAGAAUUCAGUGAAUCAUCGAAUCUUUGAACGCACAUUGCGCCCUUUGGUAUUCCAAAGGGCAUGCCUGUUCGAGCGUCAUUUGUACCCUCAAGCUUUGCUUGGUGUUGGGCGUCUUGUCUCUAGCUUUGCUGGAGACUCGCCUUAAAGUAAUUGGCAGCCGGCCUACUGGUUUCGGAGCGCAGCACAAGUCGCACUCUCUAUCAGCAAAGGUCUAGCAUCCAUUAAGCCCUUUUUUCAACUUUUGACCUCGGAUCAGGUAGGGAUACCCGCUGAACUUAAGCAUAUCAAUAAGCGGAGGA
This 341-nucleotide unclassified non-coding RNA is filed under the name soil metagenome. RNAcentral's name for it is "partial contains 5.8S ribosomal RNA, internal transcribed spacer 2, and large subunit ribosomal RNA". The stretch from base 1 to 120 matches the Rfam family "5.8S ribosomal RNA", at positions 35 to 154 of the family's 154-position model. The record is from RNAcentral.